This 1502-nucleotide ribosomal RNA is filed under the name metagenome. RNAcentral describes it as "bacterial SSU rRNA". It matches the Rfam family "Bacterial small subunit ribosomal RNA". The record is from RNAcentral.
AGAGUUUGAUCCUGGCUCAGCUUGAACGCUAGCGGCGAGCUUAAUACAUGCAAGUCUAACAAGGGGGUAACCUUUUGUGGCGGACGGGCUAGUAAUACAUAACUAACAUGCCUCUAACACUGGAAUAGCUCUUGGAAACGGGAGGUAAUACCGGAUGAGGAGUGUACUCGGCAUCGAGGUGCACUUCAAAGCGGGGGAUCGCAAGACCUUGCGGUUAGAGAUUGGGUUAUGACUGAUCAGCUAGUUGGUGGGGUAAAGGCCCACCAAGGCUAUGACCUGUAGGCGGAUUGAGGGAUCGAUCGCCAGCACUGGGACUGAGACACUGCCCAGACUCCUACGGGAGGCAGCAGUAGGGAAUAUUGAGCAAUGGGCGAAAGCCUGACUCAGCUACGCCGCGUGGAGGAUGAAGGCCCUUGGGUCGUAAACUCCUGUCAGCUGGAGGGAAGGCACCCGGUUUAAUAAAUCGGAGUGUCGGACGAAAACAGCAAAGGAAGCACCGGCUAACUCCGUGCCAGCAGCCGCGGUAAUACGGAGGGUGCAAGCGUUAAGCGGAUUUAUUGGGCGUUAAGGGCGCGUAGGCGGAAUCUUAAGUCAGCGGUGAAAUACUUGGGCAAAACCCAAGUGCUGUCGUUGAAACUGGGAGUCUAGAGGAAGAGCGGGGAGAGGGGAACUUAGAGUGUAGCGGUGAAAUGCGUAGAUAUUCUAGGGAACACCAGAGGCGAAGGCGCCUCUCUAGCUUUUAACUGACGCUGAGGCGCGAAAGUGUGGGGAGCAAACAGGAUUAGAUACCCUGGUAGUCCACACUGUAAACGAUGUCGACUUGUCGUAGAGGGAAUUAACCCCCUCUGCGGCGUAGCUAACGCGAUAAGUCGACCGCCUGGGGAGUACGGCCGCAAGGUUGAAACCCAAAGGAAUUGACGGGGGCCCGCACAAGUAGUGGAGCAUGUGGUUUAAUUCGAUGCAACGCGAAAAACCUUACCUGGGCUUGACAUGGUAGCGACAGGAUCAGAGAUGGUCCCUCCUUCGGGCGCUACACACAGGUGCUGCAUGGCUGUCGUCAGCUCGUGCCGUGAGGUGUUGGGUUAAGUCCCGCAACGAGCGAAACCCUUGUCCUUAGUUACUAACGCGUAAAGGCGAGGACUUUAAGGAGACUGCCUAUGUUAAAUAGGAGGAAGGUGAGGAUGACGUCAAGUCAGCAUGGCCCUUACGCCCAGGGCUACACACGUGCUACAAUGGGGGGUACAACGGGAAGCAAGACCGCGAGGUGGAGCCAAUCCUACAAAACCUCCCUCAGUUCGGAUUGUAGUCUGCAAUUCGACUACAUGAAGCUGGAAUUACUAGUAAUGGCAGGUCAGCAAUACUGCCGUGAAUACGUUCCCGGGCCUUGUACACACCGCCCAUCAUGUCAUGGGAGUUGGAGGUACUCGAAGCCGCACACUCAACCGUAAGGGGAGCUGCGUCUAAAGUAAAGCCGAUAACUGGGAUAAAGUCGUAACAAGGUA